RNAcentral lists this microRNA precursor (78 nucleotides) under Schistosoma margrebowiei. RNAcentral describes it as "mir-3492 microRNA precursor family". It matches the Rfam family "mir-3492 microRNA precursor family". The record is from Rfam by way of RNAcentral. Lineage: Eukaryota; Metazoa; Platyhelminthes; Trematoda; Strigeidida; Schistosomatidae.
AGAUUCUUGAAUCUAUGCAGAGAUUUCGUCAGACACCAACCCAUUAGGGCUGACCGGACUUUCAAGAUAUGUGAAGUU